Molecule: ribosomal RNA, 426 nt
Filed under: uncultured Burkholderiales Genera incertae sedis bacterium
Lineage: Bacteria; Pseudomonadati; Pseudomonadota; Betaproteobacteria; Burkholderiales
Description: partial 16S ribosomal RNA
Source: RNAcentral
CACGUAGUUAGCCGGUGCUUAUUCUUCAGGUACCGUCAUCACUCCAGGGUAUUAACCCGAAGCUUUUCUUCCCUGACAAAAGCGGUUUACGACCCGAAGGCCUUCUUCCCGCACGCGGCAUGGCUGGAUCAGGCUUGCGCCCAUUGUCCAAAAUUCCCCACUGCUGCCUCCCGUAGGAGUCUGGGCCGUGUCUCAGUCCCAGUGUGGCUGGUCGUCCUCUCAGACCAGCUACAGAUCGUCGCCUUGGUAGGCCUUUACCCCACCAACUAGCUAAUCUGACAUCGGCCGCUCCAAUAGCGCGAGGCCCUUGCAGGUCCCCCGCUUUCCACCCAUGGGUCUAUGCGGUAUUAGUCCGGCUUUCGCCCGGGUUACUCCCCCUACUACCUCGGGCCACGGUUCCCGAUUGUAUUACUCCACCCGUUCGCC